CGCGUCCUACGGGGGGCAGCAGUGGGGGAUAUUGCACAAUGGGGGGAACCCUGAUGCAGCAACGCCGCGUGAAGGAAGAAGGGUUUCGGCUCGUAAACUUCUAUUAACAGGGACGAAAGAAAUGACGGUACCUGAAUAAGAAGCCCCGGCUAACUACGUGCCAGCAGCCGCGGGAAUACGUAGGGGGCAAGCGUUAUCCGGAAUUACUGGGUGUAAAGGGUGAGUAGGCGGCAUGGUAAGCCAGAUGUGAAAGCCUUGGGCUUAACCCGAGGAUUGCAUUUGGAACUAUCAAGCUAGAGUACAGG
RNAcentral lists this ribosomal RNA (305 nucleotides) under uncultured bacterium. RNAcentral's name for it is "bacterial SSU rRNA". It matches the Rfam family "Bacterial small subunit ribosomal RNA", at positions 333 to 652 of the family's 1533-position model. The record is from RNAcentral.